AGAUCCUAGAGAGAGAGAAGAGUGUUUUUGUAUCAUUCUAACCAGUGGUUUCUCUGACUUUAUGAGGUUGUUUUGAUAGUUAUACAGAGGACAGAAUGAGGAUAUAUAUGAACCAUAAAACGUGGAAUGUUAGAUGUUUUGAUAAAUCAGGAUUGUGUUUGUGUGUGUUCAAUUGAAAGGAGUUAAUGAAAAAUGAAACAUUUUAAAAUACAUUUGUAUUGUAAAUAUAAUUUCUUCUCCUCCCUGCCCAGUUUUGUGGGUGAGGUGUAUGUCUAUAGAUGUUAUUUCAGUCUAGAUUGGACUUUAAGUUAUCGUCGUUGAACAUGGCCCCCCUUUCGGGAAUCCCUGGACUUCACCAUGACCACUGCAGUACUUGUCUCCCAUCUGAAGAGGAUGAUGUUGUGAUGAUGUCACAACAGAAGAGAAUCGAUCCUAUAGCCUGAUGUCACAACAGAAGAGAAUCGAUCCUAUAGCCUGAUGUCACAACAGAAGAGAAUCGAUCCUAUAGCAUGAUGUCACAACAGAAGGGAAUCGAUCCUAUAGCCUGAUGUCACAACAGAAGAGAAUCGAUCCUAUAGCCUGAUGUCACAACAGAAGAGAAUCGAUCCUAUAGACUGAUGUCACAACAGAAGAGAAUCGAUCCUAUAGCCUGAUGUCACAACAGAAGAGAAUCAAUCCUAUAGCCUGAUGUCACAACAGAAGAGAAUCGAUCCUAUAGCCUGAUGUCACAACAGAAGAGAAUCGAUCGUAUAGCCUGAUGUCACAACAGAAGAGAAUCGAUCCUAUAGACUGAUGUCACAACAGAAGAGAAUCGAUCCUAUAGCCUGAUGUCACAACAGAAGGGAAUCGAUCCUAUAGCCUGAUGUCACAACAGAAGGGAAUCGAACCUACAGACUGAUGUCACAACAGAAGGGAAUCGAUCCUAUAGCCUGAUGUCACAACAGAAGAGAAUCGAUCCUAUUGCCUGAUGUCACAACAGAAGAGAAUCGAUCCUAUAGCCUGAUGUCACAACAGAAGUGAAUCGAUCCUAUAGCCUGAUGUCACAACAGAAGGGAAUCGAUCCUAUAGCCUGAUGUCACAACAGAAGGGAAUCGAUCCUAUAGACUGAUGUCACAACAGAAGAGAAUCGAUCCUAUAGCCUGAUGUCACAACAGAAGGGAAUCGAUCCUAUAGCCUGAUGUCACAACAGAAGGGAAUCGAUCCUAUAGCCUGAUGUCACAACAGAAGAGAAUCGAUCCUAUAGCCUGAUGUCACAACAGAAGAGAAUCGAUCCUGUAGCCUGAUGUCACAACAGAAGAGAAUCGCUCCUAUAGCCUGAUGUCACAACAGAAGAGAAUCGAUCCUAUAGCCUGAUGUCACAACAGAAGAGAAUCGCUCCUAUAGCCUGAUGUCACAACAGAAGAGAAUCGAUCCUAUAGCCUGAUGUCACAACAGAAGGGAAUCGAUCCUGUAGCCUGAUGUCACAACAGAAGGGAAUCGAUCCUAUAGACUGAUGUCACAACAGAAGAGAAUCGAUCCUAUAGACUGAUGUCACAACAGAAGGGAAUCGAUCCUAUAGACUGAUGUCACAACAGAAGGGAAUCGAUCCUAUAGACUGAUGUCACAACAGAAGGGAAUCGAUCCUAUAGCCUGGCGCCAGAUCUAUUUGUGCUGUAUACAGCCACAUCCAUGACAAGGUCCAUAUGAGUUGGCAAGACAGCACCAACAGAUCUGGGACCAGGCUAAACUGACUCAUUGUCUUUCAUUGUUUUUCAUCUCAGUCCCAAACUAGUAACCAACGGAUGGAUGGAUGAAUUCAAAUGAUUUGUUUUCUUCUUCUUUGUUGUCUGAAAGAAACAUUCAGCUUGACUCUCGUACAGUAACGCCAGACAGACCAGACCAGAUGUAAUGUGACAUCUGUUUGUGCUGUCUUCACCAACUCUGUGGCAAUGACCAUAGGAACUGGUAAGAUAGCGCAUAGUUACAUUGUAGCACGUUUAUUGAUCAGCACUAUUGAGUGUUAAUGACUUUCUGCUCUCGAUACAGUACAUCCGUCCACAGACAACGGGACCAUGACUCUCUGCACCAAUGAAUGGACAAAGCCAUUGAUCGCGUGUCACAAUUCAUUCCUAUGUGAAGACUCGAUAGCGCAUUGAAGCCAAAUUAAUUUGGGUAAGAUGGCGUCUCAUGGAGACAUGACAUGCAGCCGUUUGAGCUACUCCAGAAUGUGACGUUGCAGGCUAGCUCAGUGCUGCCCCCUUCUCGUUGAUAAACUCACAUUGUAGGCCGACCGCGGUCUGCAGACUGUCAUUAGCAACUAAUCCUUAUCCUGCGAUAGAAAAAUAUAUAUCGGUUCGAGGACAUACAUCUGGUGUUUCAGAAGCAAUUAUUGGCAGCAUGACUGUCUUUGAAAAUGUUUUUUAAUUACACGACGAUUGACCACGAAGAUCAAAAAAUGUCAAAUUCACUAUAAUGGAGAAUCCUGUUUUUGCAAACAAUGCCUGCAGUACCGCAGCCUGCCUCAAACUCCUGUGGCUUUAAUGAGAGUGGGAAGUCGUUCUCAUCCAAUGGCUGCCAUGUUUUUGGAUGACGUGAGUGAUGUCAUCACUUUACCAUGGUUACCAUUACAACAUGCCUUACAGUACUCAGUCUGAUAACUACUCAAGAGAGUGUCUUUACCAUAACAGGACAGUAUGAAGGAAGAAACUAUUUCUCCAAUAGAAAUCCUCGAUAAUGUUUGUAGGCGAUGUCAUGGCAACGUUGGCUCGCUAAGCUCAUGUGCAGAACACGUCAUCAGGUCUAACUGAUGUCCUGAACUGCCCAUGUGCAGAACACGUCAUCAGGUCUAACUGAUGUCCUGAACUGCCCAUGUGCAGAACACGUCAUCAGGUCUAACUGAUGUCCUGAACUGCCCAUGUGCAGAACACGUCAUCAGGUCUAAAGGCUGUCCUGAACUGCCCAUGUGCAGAACAUGUCAUCAGGUCUAAAGGCUGUCCUGAACUGCCCAUGUGCAGAACACGUCAUCAGGUCUAAAGGCUGUCCUGAACUGCCCAUGUGCAGAACAUGUCAUCAGGUCUAAAGGCUGUCCUGAACUGCCCAUGUGCAGAACACGUCAUCAGGUCUAAAGGCUGUCCUGAACUGCCCAUGUGCAGAACACGUCAUCAGGUCUAAAGGUUGUCCUGAACUGCCCAUGUGCAGAACACGUCAUCAGGUCUAAAGGCUGUCCUGAACUGCCCAUGUGCAGAACACGUCAUCAGGUCUAAAGGCUGUCCUGAACUGCCCAUGUGCAGAACAUGUCAUCAGGUCUAACUGAUGUCCUGAACUGCCCAUGUGCAGAACACGUCAUCAGGUCUAAAGGCUGUCCUGAACUGCCCAUGUGCAGAACACGUCAUCAGGUCUAACUGAUGUCCUGAACUGCCCAUGUGCAGAACACGUCAUCAGGUCUAAAGGCUGUCCUGAACUGCCCAUGUGCAGAACACGUCAUCAGGUCUAACUGAUGUCCUGAACUGCCCAUGUGCAGAACACGUCAUCAGGUCUAAAGGCUGUCCUGAACUGCCCAUGUGCAGAACACGUCAUCAGGUCUAACUGAUGUCCUGAACUGCCCAUGUGCAGAACACGUCAUCAGGUCUAAAGGCUGUCCUGAACUGCCCAUGUGCAGAACACGUCAUCAGGUCUAACUGAUGUCCUGAACUGCCCAUGUGCAGAACACGUCAUCAGGUCUAAAGGCUGUCCUGAACUGCCCAUGUGCAGAACACGUCAUCAGGUCUAACUGAUGUCCUGAACUGCCCAUGUGCAGAACACGUCAUCAGGUCUAACUGAUGUCCUGAACUGCCCAUGUGCAGAACACGUCAUCAGGUCUAAAGGCUGUCCUGAACUGCCCAUGUGCAGAACACGUCAUCAGGUCUAACUGAUGUCCUGAACUGCCCAUGUGCAGAACACGUCAUCAGGUCUAACGGUUGUCCUGAACUGCCCAUGUGCAGAACACGUCAUCAGGUCAAUCUUUCCAUGUAAAGUAGUUUUUUGUGACCAAUUGUUAAUUUGUUUUGACAUCUUUUUGUUAGGGGGUUUACAGGUACAUUUUCCAUUUCAUAUACGUUUAUACAACCUGUACUCAAGAGAAGACAACUAAGAAAUACAUAGAGAGUUUAAAUAUAAAUAAUACAAUCAGUAUAAACAGGAAAAUAAAACAAAAAAGAACAUUGUCCACCACCCCCAACCCCCUACAGCCAACCCCCUCCAGCCAACCCCCUCCCCACAACCCCAUUCCCCCAACCCCCUCCAGCCA
Long non-coding RNA from Oncorhynchus keta (chum salmon), 4264 nucleotides. RefSeq lists it as uncharacterized. The transcript is spliced from 4 exons. NCBI's taxonomy places the organism in Eukaryota, Metazoa, Chordata, Actinopteri, Salmoniformes, Salmonidae. The record is from RefSeq and is a predicted model, not a curated record.